RNAcentral lists this transfer RNA (75 nucleotides) under Bacillota bacterium. RNAcentral's name for it is "tRNA-Val". It matches the Rfam family "tRNA". Rfam says of the family: Transfer RNA (tRNA) molecules are approximately 80 nucleotides in length. Their secondary structure includes four short double-helical elements and three loops (D, anti-codon, and T loops). Further hydrogen bonds mediate the characteristic L-shaped molecular structure. tRNAs have two regions of fundamental functional importance: the anti-codon, which is responsible for specific mRNA codon recognition, and the 3' end, to which the tRNAs corresponding amino acid is attached (by aminoacyl-tRNA synthetases). tRNAs cope with the degeneracy of the genetic code in two manners: having more than one tRNA (with a specific anti-codon) for a particular amino acid; and 'wobble' base-pairing, i.e. permitting non-standard base-pairing at the 3rd anti-codon position. The record is from RNAcentral. Lineage: Bacteria; Bacillati; Bacillota.
GGGCCGUUAACUCAGCGGAAGAGUGCUUCCCUGACGCGGAAGAAGUCAUAAGUUCGAAUCUUAUACGGCCCACCA